UACGUAGGGGGCAAGCGUUAUCCGGAUUUACUGGGUGUAAAGGGAGCGUAGACGGCAGGGCAAGUCUGGAGUGAAAGGCAGGGGCCCAACCCCUGGACUGCUCUGGAAACUGUCCGGCUGGAGUGCAGGAGAGGUAAGUGGAAUUCCUAGUGUAGCGGUGUAAUGCGUAGAUAUUAGGAGGAACACCAGAGGCGAAGGCGGCUUACUGGACUGUAACUGACGUUGAGGCUCGAAAGCGUGGGGAGCAAACAGG
This 253-nucleotide ribosomal RNA is filed under the name uncultured bacterium. RNAcentral's name for it is "partial 16S ribosomal RNA". It matches the Rfam family "Bacterial small subunit ribosomal RNA", at positions 524 to 776 of the family's 1533-position model. The record is from RNAcentral.